UACAGAGGUGGCAAGCGUUGUUCAGAAUUACUGGGCGUAAAGGGCGCGUAGGCGGUUGCCUAAGUCGGACGUGAAAUCCCCAAGCUUAACUUGGGAACUGCAUCUGAUACUGGGUGACUUGAGUUCGGGAGAGGAAUGUGGAAUUCCAGGUGUAGCGGUGAAAUGCGUAGAUAUCUGGAGGAACACCGGUGGCGAAGGCGGCAUUCUGGACCGAAACUGACGCUGAGGCGCGAAAGCGUGGGGAGCAAACAGG
RNAcentral lists this ribosomal RNA (253 nucleotides) under uncultured bacterium. Its description in RNAcentral is "partial 16S ribosomal RNA". It matches the Rfam family "Bacterial small subunit ribosomal RNA", at positions 524 to 776 of the family's 1533-position model. The record is from RNAcentral.